AAGGGGUGAAGGAAGCAGGAGUAGACUGGACCUUCGCUUUCUCUGGGAACUAGACCAAGUUUGCUUUUAGUUACUAGAAUAAAAUUCUGACCCAAGCUCAUUUGGGGAGAAAGGAGCUACAGCCCAUUAUCAAGGGAAACCUGGGCAUAAACUCAAGGAAGGAACCUGGCAGCGGGAACCGAAGUAGAGAUGGUGGAGGAAAGCUGUUUGUCGUCUAGAACAGCCUCAUAUAAUCCGAGCCCACCAGCCCAAAGAUGGCACUGCCCACAGUGGACUGGGCCCUCUACUUCAGUCACCAGUUAGGAAAAACCUCACAGGCAUGGGCUCAGAGUAUGUGCUGCCAGAGGUCCACCUUCAACCAGGAGCUCUGUUCUGAGGUCUGUGGUGUGGCUAGAAACCAUGUGGAUGCCCUCGGACCCUAAAGAGCAAAUAAGCUACUUUGGCAGUGUUAUUGAUGGCUGCAGAUGCACAGUUAAGAAAGAGGGACGUGGAAGAUUUCUGUGAUAACCCCUACCUCCACCCAACCCUCCCCCAGAAUAAUAGCCUAGACAGGAAGCCAUAGAAGGGGACUCUUAAAAACUGUGAUAUGAGGCUGAAAUGUCGCUCGCCAUAAUAGACGACUUCCAGCAGAGGUGUAAAAGGGGAAGAACUUAGUUCUAUGGGGGGAGGGGGGCAGACCACUGGGAGUUCGGCCAUGGUGCAGUGA
Long non-coding RNA from Myodes glareolus (Bank vole), 706 nucleotides. RefSeq lists it as uncharacterized. Lineage: Eukaryota; Metazoa; Chordata; Mammalia; Rodentia; Cricetidae. The record is from RefSeq and is a predicted model, not a curated record.